UCAAACUUGGUCAUUUAGAGGAAGUAAAAGUCGUAACAAGGUUUCCGUAGGUGAACCUGCGGAAGGAUCAUUAAUGAAGUUUUUUGAGGUCUGACCUCAACUUCUCAUCCUUUGUUUAACUAUAAUUUGUUUGCUUCGACAUGUCAGUCUUGAUUGACGAUUGGGAAAUGGUAAUUCAUUACUGCGUCCUAAUUAGUUACUGUCGAUAGCCUCCUUUAAAAUUCUUUGAUAUAAAUCAUGCCUGAAAAACUGUUUUAUAAAUAAAAAACAAAAACUUUCAACAACGGAUCUCUUGGUUCUGGCAUCGAUGAAGAACGCAGC
Molecule: unclassified non-coding RNA, 321 nt
Filed under: uncultured fungus
Lineage: Eukaryota; Fungi
Description: partial contains small subunit ribosomal RNA, internal transcribed spacer 1, and 5.8S ribosomal RNA
Rfam family: Eukaryotic small subunit ribosomal RNA (bases 1-73)
Source: RNAcentral